GACGAACGCUGGCGGCGUGCUUUACACAUGCAAGUCGAACGGAAAGGCCCUGCUUUUGUGGGGUGCUCGAGUGGCGAACGGGUAAGUAACACGUGAGUAACCUGCCCUUGACUUUGGGAUAACUUCAGGAAACUGGGGCUAAUACCGGAUAGGAGCUCCUGCUGCAUGGUGGGGGUUGGAAAGUUUCGGCGGUUGGGGAUGGACUCGCGGCUUAUCAGCUUGUUGGUGGGGUAGUGGCUUACCAAGGCUUUGACGGGUAGCCGGCCUGAGAGGGUGACCGGCCACAUUGGGACUGAGAUACGGCCCAGACUCCUACGGGAGGCAGCAGUGGGGAAUAUUGCACAAUGGGCGGAAGCCUGAUGCAGCAACGCCGCGUGCGGGAUGACGGCCUUCGGGUUGUAAACCGCUUUCGCCUGUGACGAAGCGUGAGUGAUGGUAAUGGGUAAAGAAGCACCGGCUAACUACGUG
Molecule: ribosomal RNA, 468 nt
Filed under: uncultured bacterium
Lineage: Bacteria
Description: partial 16S ribosomal RNA
Rfam family: Bacterial small subunit ribosomal RNA
Source: RNAcentral